Molecule: ribosomal RNA, 231 nt
Filed under: uncultured bacterium
Lineage: Bacteria
Description: partial 16S ribosomal RNA
Rfam family: Bacterial small subunit ribosomal RNA
Source: RNAcentral
CGGACGGGUGAGUAAUGUCUGGGAAACUGCCCGAUGGAGGGGGAUAACUACUGGAAACGGUAGCUAAUACCGCAUAACGUCGCAAGACCAAAGAGGGGACCUUCGGGCCUCGCGCCAUCAGAUGAACCCAUAUGGGAUUAGCUUGUAGGUAAGGUAACGGCUUACCUAGGCGACGAUCCCUAGCUGGUCUGAGAGGAUGAUCAGCCACACUGGGACUGAGACACGGCCCAG